RNAcentral lists this ribosomal RNA (253 nucleotides) under uncultured bacterium. RNAcentral describes it as "partial 16S ribosomal RNA". It matches the Rfam family "Bacterial small subunit ribosomal RNA", at positions 524 to 776 of the family's 1533-position model. The record is from RNAcentral.
UACGUAGGGUGCAAGCGUUAAUCGGAAUUACUGGGCGUAAAGCGUGCGCAGGCGGUUUUGUAAGACAGAUGUGAAAUCCCCGGGCUCAACCUGGGAACUGCAUUUGUGACUGCAUCGCUGGAGUACGGCAGAGGGGGAUGGAAUUCCGCGUGUAGCAGUGAAAUGCGUAGAUAUGCGGAGGAACACCGAUGGCGAAGGCAAUCCCCUGGGCCUGUACUGACGCUCAUGCACGAAAGCGUGGGGAGCAAACAGG